AGAAACAUAUUCACUUAAACAAAUCCACAAAGCACCGAAGAGAAUAACAUUACAGCAAGGAGAGGCAAGCUACAAGCGUGUGAAUUUCAAGUUCAUAAAUGUUCAGACCACUUACCUGUUUCUUGUUUGCCCAACGACUUCCAAGUCCCCACUCUUUCUCGUUUCCUUGCUCCAUCCCAUUUACUUUCCAGUUUAUACGAUCUUCGGUUUCAUAUUAUACACGAAAAUUCAAAUUAAAUUUUGUUGAAUGUUAAUUUUGAUCUAUACAUUGAGUUAUCAUUUAUACCCGUAACAAGUUAAAACUAAACUUUUGUAGGUUAACCAAAAAAAGAAGACUACACUUUGUAGAUAUCAUCAUGACAGGUAAAAUCUAGGAAGAUCUAGUAAGGAACCAUUCAGAACCAAACCGGUCAGAAACCGUGUCUCUCUCAUGAUGCACAUUCAUCAAGAAUCUGAAAAAAAAAAGAUAAAUAUCAAAAUUGAUUAAAUUGAGUCAGAAGAUAACCAACACAAGAUCAUGAUCGGCUAUAUUUCGUGCCACGAUCACUGAUAUUCUGUCCACAAGUUUCCUUCUUUUAGAUUUUAAUUAGUUGUCGACAAUACUUCGAAGUUGGUUCGAUGUUGCUGUCCGAAUGUAUUGGCCCCGUCCCUACGUUGCCUUUCGAACAGCUUAUGUAUGAUUAAUGCUUCAACGAAAAGACAAUGAGACAUAUCCAGCAAAUUAGGGUUGCUCUUGUUUGAGUGGUUUAAGCCCCACGAAUAUGUAAUUAGAACACAAAAUUAUAACCAGAAUCUCGUGAGAUUCGGAGUAAUCGUGAAUUUAAAACGAGUCAUGUCAAUAUUUCAAAUCACUCGACAUUUUGUGGGUUUUC
RNAcentral lists this long non-coding RNA (872 nucleotides) under Brassica rapa (field mustard). RNAcentral describes it as "long non-coding RNA (BRAP_LNC000577)". Lineage: Eukaryota; Viridiplantae; Streptophyta; Magnoliopsida; Brassicales; Brassicaceae. The record is from RNAcentral.